GAAGGUGGCCUGUGAGGGUUGCUGGAGGUAUCAGAAGUGCGAAUGCUGACAUAAGUAACGAUAAAGCGGGUGAAAAGCCCGCUCGCCGGAAGACCAAGGGUUCCUGUCCAACGUUAAUCGGGGCAGGGUGAGUCGACCCCUAAGGCGAGGCCGAAAGGCGUAGUCGAUGGGAAACGGGUUAAUAUUCCCGUACUUGGUGUUACUGCGAAGGGGGGACGGAGAAGGCUAUGUUGGCCGGGCGACGGUUGUCCCGGUUUAAGCGUGUAGGUGUGUGUUCCAGGUAAAUCCGGUUCACUUUAACACUGAGGCGUGACGACGAGGCACUACGGUGCUGAAGCAACAAAUGCCCUGCUUCCAGGAAAAGCCUCUAAGCAUCAGGUAACAUCAAAUCGUACCCCAAACCGACACAGGUGGUCAGGUAGAGAAUACCAAGGCGCUUGAGAGAACUCGGGUGAAGGAACUAGGCAAAAUGGUGCCGUAACUUCGGGAGAAGGCACGCUGACACGUAGGUGAAGUGAUUUACUCAUGGAGCUGAAGUCAGUCGAAGAUACCAGCUGGCUGCAACUGUUUAUUAAAAACACAGCACUGUGCAAACACGAAAGUGGACGUAUACGGUGUGACGCCUGCCCGGUGCCGGAAGGUUAAUUGAUGGGGUCAGCGCAAGCGAAGCUCCUGAUCGAAGCCCCGGUAAACGGCGGCCGUAACUAUAACGGUCCUAAGGUAGCGAAAUUCCUUGUCGGGUAAGUUCCGACCUGCACGAAUGGCGUAAUGAUGGCCAGGCUGUCUCCACCCGAGACUCAGUGAAAUUGAACUCGCUGUGAAGAUGCAGUGUACCCGCGGCAAGACGGAAAGACCCCGUGAACCUUUACUAUAGCUUGACACUGAACAUUGAGCCUUGAUGUGUAGGAUAGGUGGGAGGCUUUGAAGUGUGGACGCCAGUCUGCAUGGAGCCGACCUUGAAAUACCACCCUUUAAUGUUUGAUGUUCUAACGUGGACCCGUGAUCCGGGUUGCGGACAGUGUCUGGUGGGUAGUUUGACUGGGGCGGUCUCCUCCUAAAGAGUAACGGAGGAGCACGAAGGUUGGCUAAUCCUGGUCGGACAUCAGGAGGUUAGUGCAAUGGCAUAAGCCAGCUUGACUGCGAGCGUGACGGCGCGAGCAGGUGCGAAAGCAGGUCAUAGUGAUCCGGUGGUUCUGAAUGGAAGGGCCAUCGCUCAACGGAUAAAAGGUACUCCGGGGAUAACAGGCUGAUACCGCCCAAGAGUUCAUAUCGACGGCGGUGUUUGGCACCUCGAUGUCGGCUCAUCACAUCCUGGGGCUGAAGUAGGUCCCAAGGGUAUGGCUGUUCGCCAUUUAAAGUGGUACGCGAGCUGGGUUUAGAACGUCGUGAGACAGUUCGGUCCCUAUCUGCCGUGGGCGCUGGAGAACUGAGGGGGGCUGCUCCUAGUACGAGAGGACCGGAGUGGACGCAUCACUGGUGUUCGGGUUGUCAUGCCAAUGGCACUGCCCGGUAGCUAAAUGCGGAAGAGAUAAGUGCUGAAAGCAUCUAAGCACGAAACUUGCCCCGAGAUGAGUUCUCCCUGAGACUU
This 1588-nucleotide ribosomal RNA is filed under the name Salmonella enterica. RNAcentral describes it as "partial 23S ribosomal RNA". It matches the Rfam family "Bacterial large subunit ribosomal RNA", at positions 1252 to 2823 of the family's 2925-position model. The record is from RNAcentral. Lineage: Bacteria; Pseudomonadati; Pseudomonadota; Gammaproteobacteria; Enterobacterales; Enterobacteriaceae. RNAcentral also lists the same sequence under 2 other names.